RNAcentral lists this ribosomal RNA (2116 nucleotides) under Triticum aestivum (bread wheat). Its description in RNAcentral is "partial small subunit ribosomal RNA". Lineage: Eukaryota; Viridiplantae; Streptophyta; Magnoliopsida; Poales; Poaceae. The record is from RNAcentral.
GGGUUACUGUAGCAUGAUUCUCAGGGUGUUACAAAUUUGAAAGCUGCAAAGUAGGACAUAACAGUGCCAGAAAGGUCAAAAUGCUUUCUACCACCAAUUUAUUAUCCAAAAAGAAAAACCAAAGUAGACAUGAAAUAAAUUAGACUCUGUGCAAACCUGCUAUUUGAAUUCACAACAAACAUGUAAAUAGAUACAUUAUGAUGUUUAACAACAAACAAGUAUGGAACAAGGAACUCCAACGCUGUAGCGUAACAAAUAACAGUGACAAAAGGGUCAAAAUGCCUACUGCUACCAAUUUUUAAUCAAAAACUAAAACAAAUCAGAUGAGAUAAAAAAUUAGACUCUACAUACACUUUUGAAUCAUAGCCAAGGUUAGAAAACAGGAAGUCCAUAUGAGAUUAUUCAGAUUUAUCUGUUAAAUUGCUUUGGUAUAUUUUUACAAGAAAUACUCACAAUUAUAUGCUGGAAAAAAAUCAAAUAAAAGCUACCGAGCCAAGUUAUUAUUAAUUAAAGUACAAUUCAAGGAAGGUGGUGAAGAAAUUCAUUAUAUAUUAACCUAGAGUCACACAAAGAUAAAACUAACGGAAGUAGCAAAACAGACAAUGAAACAGUUGGAAGAAAAAACAACAUGCAAAAUUAAAAAAAUGAGGUAAACAUACUAUAUUAAGUCACAAUAUAAAUAUAUUUAUAUGGAAGUCAAACUAUCUUAAGGAUUAAUUAUAGAACUUGCUCUUGAAUUUAGUUAAAUGAACGCAAACUACAUGCUUAAGAACAUAAUAGUAUAGAUUGAAACAAUACAAACAUAACUAUAUUAUAGUAUCAUUCAAAAUGCAGCCGGAAAUGAGAACACACUAUCUGAAAACAACCUCGUUACGAAUUAAUUUCAGCAUUCAUACUUUUCAGUAUACAGAUGAUAGGUAGAACUAGAAAAAGAUCACUAAAAAGCACAGAACAACAUAACAAACUAGACUAAACAAACUCGCACAUCAAGGUAAAUAUGUCUAUGUGAACUUUACAUCAAUGAAGCAUGCAAACAUAAGAUAAAGAGUAGUACAAACUAGCUUUCUCAACGUGCGGGCAAUGAAUAAGGUAUUUGAGUUCAUUAAGGACAUAUAGACACAUCACAUCGAGACUACUACUAUAUCUUAAAGUGGUGCAACAUGGAUUGGGAACAAAGCUAAAACUCAGGCCAAAACAGAACAACAAGUAGAGGCAUACCAAGACUGACCAAACAUUUAUUGUUAACAAAGCUUGUAAUAAAAUUUUCAAGCAGAAAAAGGAAGGCAAGAAAAUUCAGAGGGAAAUUUUUAGACAUACAUGUAGCACAAGGAUGGCGUGAAGUUACAAAUAGGAGAACAUAGGAGAACGAGCUUAUAGUAAACAAAGAACACAUCUGAAGCUACCGACUUAUAAAUGACCACCAAGGUUGAGAAUUAAAACUAAGCUUAUGUAGAAGUUCACACCCCUACAAUGUAUUUCAAGGUGACCUGUACUAACACCGACUUGGCUCAUAACAUCACUUUAACCUUGACAUAAACCAUAAAGAAAUUCAUGUGAACAGUGGCCAGAAGCAGCAGUCUUGCAUAAAUAAUUUCAUCAGAUAGAAUCAUGGUUCUAUGCCAAGCAAAAUGAAAUUAUUGUAGGAAUUGGAACACUGUGCAUACAUUAUUGACAUUAUUCGAGAAGAUGGGUCAAAACUAGACAGGCACACAAACAGAAAUUUAAGAGUGGUUAUAGGAUAUGAGUCAAUUAGUUAACAAAUGAAUUGAUGAGAAAUAGUAGACAAACAGAAGCCCGUAUCCAAGCACACAUAAACAACAUCAGGUCAUAAACUUAUGUAAAAACUACAUGCCUUUUUCACCUUUCUAAUUGUGACCUUCUCUAUCGAAGAGGGAAAAAUGACAGCACAAUGGAUCAGGGACGAAUAAAUUUUUAAGUAAGCUCAAAACAGAUUAAAAUGUUCUAAUUUUGAAACCAAGGCACCUAAAAAUUAUAGUACAUGCCAUGUUUAUCAUCUCAACCAAAUAAGUGGGGAAAGUAGAACCAAAGCAAAAGCAAUAUGUGUCAUGCUUAUAAUCUCAACCAAUUAAGGGGAAAAGUUAACAGUAUGUGCCAU